GCAUUGGCUGUUCAGUGGUAGAAUUCUUGCCUUCCAUGUAAGAGACCUGGGUUUGAUUUCUAGCCAAUACA
This 71-nucleotide transfer RNA is filed under the name Loxodonta africana (African savanna elephant). It matches the Rfam family "tRNA". Rfam says of the family: Transfer RNA (tRNA) molecules are approximately 80 nucleotides in length. Their secondary structure includes four short double-helical elements and three loops (D, anti-codon, and T loops). Further hydrogen bonds mediate the characteristic L-shaped molecular structure. tRNAs have two regions of fundamental functional importance: the anti-codon, which is responsible for specific mRNA codon recognition, and the 3' end, to which the tRNAs corresponding amino acid is attached (by aminoacyl-tRNA synthetases). tRNAs cope with the degeneracy of the genetic code in two manners: having more than one tRNA (with a specific anti-codon) for a particular amino acid; and 'wobble' base-pairing, i.e. permitting non-standard base-pairing at the 3rd anti-codon position. The record is from Rfam by way of RNAcentral. Lineage: Eukaryota; Metazoa; Chordata; Mammalia; Proboscidea; Elephantidae.